UUACUUUAAGGCAGGGCUGUCCAACCUGCAGCCCCCAGAUGUUGCUGAACUACAACUCCCAUGAUUCCCUGGCUAUCUUUUUAAUUGACUGAAUCAUGGGAGUUGUAGUUCAACAACAUCUGGGGGGGGGCGCAGGUUGGACAGCCUUGUCUUAAAGGGU
This 160-nucleotide microRNA precursor is filed under the name Pelobates cultripes (western spadefoot toad). Lineage: Eukaryota; Metazoa; Chordata; Amphibia; Anura; Pelobatidae. The record is from RNAcentral.